CCUACGGGGGGCAGCAGUGAGGAAUAUUGGUCAAUGGGCGCGAGCCUGAACCAGCCAAGUAGCGUGAAGGAUGACUGCCCUACGGGUUGUAAACUUCUUUUAUAAAGGAAUAAAGUGAGGCACGUGUGCCUUUUUGUAUGUACUUUAUGAAUAAGGAUCGGCUAACUCCGUGCCAGCAGCCGCGGUAAUACGGAGGAUCCGAGCGUUAUCCGGAUUUAUUGGGUUUAAAGGGAGCGUAGAUGGGUUGUUAAGUCAGUUGUGAAAGUUUGCGGCUCAACCGUAAAAUUGCAAUUGAUACUGGCAGUCUUGAGUACAGUUGAGGUAGGCGGAAUUCGUGGUGUAGCGGUGAAAUGCUUAGAUAUCACGAAGAACACCGGUGGCGAAGGCGGCUAUCUGGCCAUUUACUGACGCUGAGGCUCGAAAGCAUGGGGAUCAAACAGGAUUAGAUACCCCAGUAGUC
Molecule: ribosomal RNA, 460 nt
Filed under: uncultured bacterium
Lineage: Bacteria
Description: partial 16S ribosomal RNA
Rfam family: Bacterial small subunit ribosomal RNA
Source: RNAcentral